RNAcentral lists this ribosomal RNA (460 nucleotides) under uncultured bacterium. Its description in RNAcentral is "partial 16S ribosomal RNA". It matches the Rfam family "Bacterial small subunit ribosomal RNA", at positions 338 to 795 of the family's 1533-position model. The record is from RNAcentral.
CCUACGGGUGGCAGCAGUGAGGAAUAUUGGUCAAUGGGCGCGAGCCUGAACCAGCCAAGUCGCGUGAGGGAGGACGGCCCUACGGGUUGUAAACCUCUUUUGCCGGGGAGCAACGGGCGUCACGUGUGGCGCCACUGAGAGUACCCGGAGAAAAAGCAUCGGCUAACUCCGUGCCAGCAGCCGCGGUAAUACGGAGGAUGCGAGCGUUAGCGGGAUUUAUUGGGUUUACAGGGUGCGUAGGCGGAUCAUUAAGUCAGUGGUAAAAUUGAGGGGCUCAACCCCUUCCCGCCAUUGAAACUGGCGCUCUUGAGUGGAAGAGAAGUAUGCGGAAUGCGUGGUGUAGCGGUGAAAUGCAUAGAUAUCACGCAGAACCCCGAUUGCGAAGGCAGCAUGCCGGCUUCCGACUGACGCUGAAGCACGAAAGCGUGGGGAUCGAACAGGAUUAGAUACCCCAGUAGUC